This 319-nucleotide RNase P RNA is filed under the name Desulfurococcales archaeon. RNAcentral's name for it is "RNase P RNA component". It matches the Rfam family "Archaeal RNase P". Rfam says of the family: Ribonuclease P (RNase P) is a ubiquitous endoribonuclease, found in archaea, bacteria and eukarya as well as chloroplasts and mitochondria. Its best characterised activity is the generation of mature 5'-ends of tRNAs by cleaving the 5'-leader elements of precursor-tRNAs. Cellular RNase Ps are ribonucleoproteins. Lineage: Archaea; Thermoproteati; Thermoproteota; Thermoprotei; Desulfurococcales. The record is from RNAcentral.
GAGGCCGUGGCCAGCGGCCCACGGGCCUAAGGCCUGAGGACACACCGCCCUCAACACGGAGGCCAGGCUCCGUAAGGGGCGCGGGUGACACCCGUGGCAACGGCACAGAAACGACACGGCCCCCGGGGAUGUCGAGGAUGCCGUGAGACCCCCUGGGUGACCGGGGGGUAGUAGCCGGUUGAGUAACCCGGGGGAUGCGUUGAAACGGCCGACCCUGGCUGAGCAAGGCUGGGGGGCUUUGAGGGCCGUGCAGCCCCCUGGGGGGACCGCUGAGUCUAAUGCCGCUGUAGUACUGAAGGCGGGUUAUGGCUACGGUCUC